GACGAACGCUGGCGGCGUGCUUAACACAUGCAAGUCGAACGGAAAGGCCCUGCUUUUGUGGGGUGCUCGAGUGGCGAACGGGUGAGUAACACGUGAGUAACCUGCCCUUGACUUUGGGAUAACUUCAGGAAACUGGGGCUAAUACCGGAUAGGAGCUCCUGCUGCAUGGUGGGGGUUGGAAAGUUUCGGCGGUUGGGGAUGGACUCGCGGCUUAUCAGCUUGUUGGUGGGGUAGUGGCUUACCAAGGCUUUGACGGGUAGCCGGCCUGAGAGGGUGAACGGCCACAUUGGGACUGAGAUACGGCCCAGACUCCUACGGGAGGCAGCAGUGGGGAAUAUUGCACAAUGGGCGGAAGCCUGAUGCAGCAACGCCGCGUGCGGGAUGACGGCCUUCGGGUUGUAAACCGCUUUCGCCUGUGACGAAGCGUGAGUGACGGUAAUGGGUAAAGAAGCACCGGCUAACUACGUGCCAGCAGCCGCGGUGAUACGUAGGGUGCGAGCGUUGUCCGGAUUUAUUGGGCGUAAAGGGCUCGUAGGUGGUUGAUCGCGUCGGAAGUGUAAUCUUGGGGCUUAACCCUGAGCGUGCUUUCGAUACGGGUUGACUUGAGGAAGGUAGGGGAGAAUGGAAUUCCUGGUGGAGCGGUGGAAUGCGCAGAUAUCAGGAGGAACACCAGUGGCGAAGGCGGUUCUCUGGGCCUUUCCUGACGCUGAGGAGCGAAAGCGUGGGGAGCGAACAGGCUUAGAUACCCUGGUAGUCCACGCUGUAAACGGUGGGUACUAGGUGUGGGGUCCAUUCCACGGGUUCCGUGCCGUAGCUAACGCUUUAAGUACCCCGCCUGGGGAGUACGGCCGCAGGGCUAAAACUCAAAGGAAUUGACGGGGCCCCGCACAAGCGGCGGAGCAUGCGGAUUAAUUCGAUGCAACGCGUAGAACCUUACCUGGGUUUGACAUGGAUCGGGAGUGCUCAGAGAUGGGUGUGCCUCUUUUGGGGUCGGUUCACAGGUGGUGCAUGGCUGUCGUCAGCUCGUGUCGUGAGAUGUUGGGUUAAGUCCCGCAACGAGCGCAACCCUUGUUCACUGUUGCCAGCACGUUAUGGUGGGGACUCAGUGGAGACCGCCGGGGUCAACUCGGAGGAAGGUGGGGAUGACGUCAAGUCAUCAUGCCCCUUAUGUCCAGGGCUUCACGCAUGCUACAAUGGCUGGUACAGAGAGUGGCGAGCCUGUGAGGGUGAGCGAAUCUCGGAAAGCCGGUCUCAGUUCGGAUUGGGGUCUGCAACUCGACCUCAUGAAGUCGGAGUCGCUAGUAAUCGCAGAUCAGCAACGCUGCGGUGAAUACGUUCCCGGGGCU
This 1346-nucleotide ribosomal RNA is filed under the name uncultured bacterium. RNAcentral describes it as "partial 16S ribosomal RNA". It matches the Rfam family "Bacterial small subunit ribosomal RNA", at positions 28 to 1381 of the family's 1533-position model. The record is from RNAcentral.